GACAGGGAGGACGCCAAACUCGAUCCCUUCGGCUGGUUCUCGUUCACCACCAGAGCCCGGCCGGCGGGUGAGGCGAAAAGUUGCAGCAUGUCCAUGUCCUGAAUAUCGUAGGAAAUGCGAGGAAAAAAAAAAGUAGGACUUAAUUUUUUCCCUUCAUAUAUUUUUUUUUUUUCUCCUCUCCUCAGGCUAUAACCUUCGGAUAAAGAGUUUCAAGUGUUUCGAAGUUUUUUUUUUCCCCCCUCCCUCCCACUUUCGCCGUAGCUGUAUAAGGCUGCACGUUCUCGAAAUGGGCAGGCGGAGAGGUUUUUUUUCUAGAUGAGAAAAUUAUGCGGCAUUGCAUCAUGGGUACGGAGAGACACCGAUUCGUGACUGAAGUAUAAAGUGUGGAUGUUGCUGCCGGGGACAAAAAAAAAGCUGGAGACGUGAAAAGAAAGAGAAAAGGUGUGCGCGUAAGGCGGAGAGCCGAUGUAUCGGCGGUAUACGGACGAUACGUCAUCCGGUCGACCGGGACCCACUGCCAAUAUCGAUUAGGAAUAAAAUGGAUGGAAGGUUCGUUUCGUAGGCGUAAGUCCUGCAGGUGAUGUACACGUGUGCCGUGCCGCACGUCGUCCGACGUGAAAAACUGGUGAGCGGUGGUUACGGAGCGAAAACCUGAAAUCGACAAGGAAAGAGAAGAGAUUUUUUUCCACCCAGUCACAGCGAUCAGAUUUCAAACAAAUCCUCGUUCGCUGCCGGAGCUAUCGUUGACUCGCACUACUGAUUCGUCGUCGAAGCUUCGCUGACCCGAAGAAAAAAUGGAAAAAGUGUUGGAAAAAAACGAAUAAAUGUUGGUGGCUAUUUCCGGUAGCCAAUUUUUCCUAGCCUGACGCUGACCAUCGUCCGAAAGGUUUCACUGGAGGAAAAUUCGCAGACUCGAAGCAACUCCGCCGUGCAUCUAUGAGGCAAGAAUCGUCAGUGCAUCUGCAUAAUUGUUCAUUAUAUUCGCGAACGAAAUGAAGAUACAUGAAUUAUAUAUUAUGUAGCCAUAGAUGAUGUAUUUUCUAGAAUAAUUGUUUUGGUCAUUCGAUACGAAACAUCUUGAAGUAUUUAUUGUAACACAUAUCUUGUAGAGAAACAUUUUUCUGUGUUAAUAAAUCCCAGAUAU
This is a long non-coding RNA of Athalia rosae (coleseed sawfly), 1144 nucleotides long. RefSeq lists it as uncharacterized. Lineage: Eukaryota; Metazoa; Arthropoda; Insecta; Hymenoptera; Athaliidae. The record is from RefSeq and is a predicted model, not a curated record. The transcript has 4 exons.